GGGGGCGAUCGGUAUUGACUGGUUCUCCGAUGGUGACGGUGGCGUGUCGUGGUUGAUCAGCUGGCCACGUAAAAAGCCGAUCAAAAAUUAACUGCCAACAAGCAGUUUGCACUCGUCGCCUAGAGAUAGGCAACGCCGGUUGAGGAAUCCCCGCCUGUGGAGUCCAAAGACCGGUCACAAAUACAGGCUGGUCCGGAACCAAGAUGGCUUGCCAUCGCGGGGACUACUCUCCGGAUAAGACUCUGUCGUCCCCUGACGGGUUGAGGCUCUGCCUGCCGUGCCAACCCCCGUGACCCCAAACGACCGGCUACACACGUAGAGGCCCCACUUGAAGGUUCUCAGGACGCGGGUUCGAUUCCCGCCGCCUCCAUCG
Molecule: transfer-messenger RNA, 373 nt
Filed under: Planctomycetaceae
Lineage: Bacteria; Pseudomonadati; Planctomycetota; Planctomycetia; Planctomycetales
Also listed under: 1 other name
Description: TH-plancto1 sp003671275 Standard tmRNA
Rfam family: transfer-messenger RNA
About the family: Bacterial tmRNA, also known as 10Sa RNA or SsrA, is named for its dual tRNA and mRNA-like properties. Its role is to liberate the mRNA from a stalled ribosome. To accomplish this part of the tmRNA is used as a reading frame that ends in a translation stop signal.
Source: RNAcentral